RNAcentral lists this ribosomal RNA (2202 nucleotides) under Triticum aestivum (bread wheat). RNAcentral's name for it is "partial small subunit ribosomal RNA". Lineage: Eukaryota; Viridiplantae; Streptophyta; Magnoliopsida; Poales; Poaceae. The record is from RNAcentral.
AUGUCGCAAGGCAAGGUAACGAGGAAUCCUAGUGCCCCCCGUCCCCCGUGCCGCUCCCGCGAGCGGCCCGGGCGGAACCCUAGAUCGCCGCCGCCGCUCCCCUUCCUCGCCUUCCUUCUCCCUCGCCGCCGCCAGGGGCCGUCGCCGGGCAAAGCCCGCGCGUGCGUCGGCGGCGGCGGGGCUCCCUCCCCCCUUGCGAGGCUCCUGGGCGGCGGCGAGCGCGCGGGCUCCUCCUCAUCCCGAUCUGAUGGCGCCACGGUGGCUCCGAUGCUCGGGCGUGCGGCGGGGUACGCGAGGGUGGUCGGCGUGUGUCUUCCUCCCCGAUCUGAUGGCUUCACGGUGGAGCCAGUGCUCAGGCAGUUGGCUUCGGCAAGCGGUGCCGGGCGCCGGGAUCUCGGCGGCGCUCCGGCGUGUGCAGGCGGCGGCGGUCCCUGUGCGCGGUCGGCGGCUCCAUCUCUGACCCGGACGGCACGGGGGAUGGCGGCGGCCCGGCGUGGCCGGCGAUCUGGAUGCGGUGGUGCCGGCGACUCGCUGAUAUGCCGGUACUCCAGGGUCUGCCUCGUGGUGCUGGUGGUGACGGUGGCCCGGGCACGAGAGUUGGAUCCCUUCGAACUGAUCUGGGUUUCUUGUUCUUUCAGCUGUGCUUGGUCGUCGUCCGAGAAGUACUCGUCGGUACGAACUGGGCCCAAAAUUUUAUACCUAGGGUCCUUUUGGGCUAGGGAGGCGGCAGCUGCUUUAUUCCCGAUCCCGAUCGCCAUGCUGCCCAUGGAAGCCGGGCCAAGCUCCGAUGAGGAGGAGACGGUCGUCCUCUCCGAUUGGGAGAUGGCGGAGGAGGAAGAGGAGGAGGAGACCGACGUCUUCACCGAUUGGGCGAUGGAGGAGGCCGCCGUCUUCCCCGACUGGGCGAUGCUGGAUCGCAUGGGCCGCACCCGCUGCCACAAGGACCUAGACGCCGCUCGUCUGAUCGUCAGCAAGAACAAGACCGCCGCUCGACUCCGCAUUGACCGCGGCUGCUCCUGCUACGUGUCCUUCACCCUCGCGGCUCCACAAGGGGUCUCCUACCUCAACCUCCACUGGCCGGUGGGAGAAGGCUCCGACGCCGUCUAUGCCCUGCUCCGGGCAACCGACAAGGACCUCGUCCUCUUCGACAUCUACGACCCGAGCCGGCUUCCCUACUUGCGCGCGCCGGCAGCUCUGUUCGUCUACACGGCCGCCGGCCCUUCCCCAUCGGUGCAGCGGCUCCCUAUGUACGCCAAGGAUAGGAAAUGGCGGCAUUUCCUGAAGGGUAAAUUCACCACGGGCAUCCUGCGGCUCCCGGAGAAGCGCUUCAUCGUCGCCGACCUCUGUGUCCUGGAUGGCGCACUCUGCGUCUUCAACUCCUCCUCCGAGGCCAAAGACUGGAAGGUCAUCUCCAUUACGCCUGGCCUGAUACGUUGGCACACGCCGGAGCAGAACAAGAGCAGCAGUGGUCAGCUCCCCAACCAAUGGUCAACUGACGAUGCGCUCGCUUUCGACGGCCGUUUCCUCUGCUGGGUUGACUACUUCAGCGGUGUCCUGCUAUCUGACUUCUCUUCCACUAUCGGUUCUCCGACGCUCCACUUCGUACCUUUCCCUGGAGAGAAGGAAUACCCUGCAGAGGUACGGGUCCCAAGGGAGUUCCCGGGGAGGUUCCGGAACGUGUCCAUCAGCCAAGGCAAGAUGCGCUUUGUCCACAUUGACAAUGACUUCCAUGAGACAAUCGAGGAUGACUGGACAUGGCGUCAGCUUCCCGAGAGAAGAAGCCAAGGGCAGCAGCAUCAGGGUUCCCAAAAAAUCACCAUAUGGACUUUGAACUCCGACAAGUUCAAGUGGGAGCAACAUGGCGUGAUCAACCUGGAUUGUCUAUGGGCGCAACGUGGUUACGAAGCUCUGGGCAUACGGCAGCGUCUUCCCGAGUUCCCAAUCGUCAGCGUCGAGGACCCAGAUGUUCUUUGCUGCUUGUUAAGGGAGGAGGAAUUUAAUGUCAAGGGGUGGAUGAUCAUGGUUGACAUGAAGCAUGCCUAUAUGCGGUCAUGUACUCCAUAUAUCAAUCGACAUUCCUACUGUGCUAAGUGUGCGGAUGUGGGUUGUGCUGAGUGUGUGGAUGCCAGAAACGAUUUUCCUAAUACGCUCCUACUUCCAACUGUCUUCUCCAAACACCUUGAAAGGCCAACAGGUAGCUAG